This 438-nucleotide long non-coding RNA is filed under the name Physcomitrium patens. RNAcentral describes it as "long non-coding RNA (PPAT_LNC013414)". Lineage: Eukaryota; Viridiplantae; Streptophyta; Bryopsida; Funariales; Funariaceae. The record is from RNAcentral.
AGGUCUCUAGAUGUUACAGAGAACCCUGAACAACCCAAUCUACUAAUCUUUGAUACCGCUUUAUACUCACGACCUUGUAUCCACUGACUGUCUUGUUAGAUUAAUCCAAAAAUUUUCAUUCACUCUGCAUACUCAAUCUAUAGACACCCUUUUAAUUCUUCAAUCACAGACAUAACUUUGAUUUUACAAAACAGUUAAGAGUAAUCACACCCACUUCAUUAAAACCCCAAUUCACCAGUAUAGCAUUGACUUCAGCAACGAUUGCCUCAAUCUUCCCAAAACCCUAUGAAGAAAAAAAAUCCAAUUCUCUGUCUUUUUCUCCCUCCCGAAGCAUGAAGCUAGCUCUCUAACCUUUUAAAAACCUUAUUCUCUCCCCUUCAUUUCUUAACCUAUCCUCCUCUUUAACCCUAAUUCUUCCCUCUUUCAAAUCGUAGCCUC